This 301-nucleotide ribosomal RNA is filed under the name uncultured bacterium. Its description in RNAcentral is "partial 16S ribosomal RNA". It matches the Rfam family "Bacterial small subunit ribosomal RNA", at positions 509 to 809 of the family's 1533-position model. The record is from RNAcentral.
CAGCAGCCGCGGUAAUACAGAGGGUGCAAGCGUUAAUCGGAAUUACUGGGCGUAAAGCGCGCGUAGGUGGUUUGUUAAGUUGGAUGUGAAAUCCCCGGGCUCAACCUGGGAACUGCAUCCAAAACUGGCAAGCUAGAGUAUGGUAGAGGGUGGUGGAAUUUCCUGUGUAGCGGUGAAAUGCGUAGAUAUAGGAAGGAACACCAGUGGCGAAGGCGACCACCUGGACUGAUACUGACACUGAGGUGCGAAAGCGUGGGGAGCAAACAGGAUUAGAUACCCCGGUAGUCCCUGUCUCUUAUAA